GAUGAACGCUGGCGGCGUGCCUAAUACAUGCAAGUCGAACGGAAAGGCCCUGCUCUUGCGGGGUGCUCGUGAGGCGAACGGGGGAGUAAAACGCGAGUAAACCGCCCCUGACAUUCGGGUAUCUUCAGGGAACUGGGGCUAAUACCGGAUAGGAGAUCCUGCAGCACGGUGGGGGUUGGAAAAAUUCGGCGGUUUGGGCUCGUUUAGCGGGUUAUCCGCUUGUUGGUGAGGUAGUGGCUGACCAAGGGUUUGACGGGUAGGCGGCCUGGGAGGGUGACCGGCCACAUUGGGACUGAGGUAGGGCGCAGACGGCAACCGGAGGCAGCAGUGGGGAAUAUGGCACAAUAGGCGGGAGCCUGAGGCAGCGACGCCGGGUGCGGGAUGAUGGCCUUCGAGUUGUAAACCGCUGUCGCAUGUGACGAAGCGGGAGUGACGGUAAUGGAUAAAGAAGCACCGGCUAACUACGUG
This 468-nucleotide ribosomal RNA is filed under the name uncultured bacterium. RNAcentral describes it as "partial 16S ribosomal RNA". It matches the Rfam family "Bacterial small subunit ribosomal RNA", at positions 28 to 507 of the family's 1533-position model. The record is from RNAcentral.